CCUACGGGAGGCUGCAGUGGGGAAUAUUGCACAAUGGGGGAAACCCUGAUGCAGCGACGCCGCGUGAGGGAGGAAGUCUUUCGGUAUGUAAAGCUCUAUCAGCAGGGAAGAAAAUGACGGUACCUGACUCAGAAGCCCCGGCGAACGACGUGCCAGCAGCCGCGGUACUACGUAGGGGGCAAGCGUGAUCCGGAUUUACUGGGUGUAAAGGGAGCGUAGACGGUUAAUCAAGUCAGAAGUGAAAGCCUAGGGCUCAACCUUGGGACUGCUUUUGAAACUGAGUAGCUAGAGUGCAGGCGAGGUAAGCGGAAUUCCUAGUGUAGCGGUGAAAUGCGUAGAUAUUAGGAGGAACACCAGUGGCGAAGGCGGCUUACUGGACUGUAACUGACGUUGAGGCUCGAAAGCGUGGGGAGCAAACAGGAUUAGAUACCCCAGUAGUC
Molecule: ribosomal RNA, 440 nt
Filed under: uncultured bacterium
Lineage: Bacteria
Description: partial 16S ribosomal RNA
Rfam family: Bacterial small subunit ribosomal RNA
Source: RNAcentral